This 1880-nucleotide ribosomal RNA is filed under the name Orothrips kelloggi. Its description in RNAcentral is "SSU rRNA". It matches the Rfam family "Eukaryotic small subunit ribosomal RNA". Lineage: Eukaryota; Metazoa; Arthropoda; Insecta; Thysanoptera; Aeolothripidae. The record is from RNAcentral.
UGAUCCUGCCAGUAGUCAUAUGCUUGUCUCAAAGAUUAAGCCAUGCAUGUCUAAGUGCAAGCCAAAUUAAGGUGAAACCGCGAAAGGCUCAUUAUAUCAGUUAUGGUUCAAUAGAUCGUACUCAGUUACAUGGAUAACUGCGGAAAUACUGGAGCUAAUACAUGCCAACAGAGUCCCGACCAGUGAUGGAAGGGACGCUUUUAUUAGAUCAAAACCAAUCGGUCGCUUCGGCGAUCGUGCAGUCUUGGUGACUCUGAAUAACUUUGGGCUGAUCGCACGGCCUUCGUGCCGGCGACGCAUCUUUCAAAUGUCUGCCUUAUCAACUGUCGAUGGUAGGUUCUGCGCCUACCAUGGUUGUAACGGGUAACGGGGAAUCAGGGUUCGAUUCCGGAGAGGGAGCCUGAGAAACGGCUACCACAUCCAAGGAAGGCAGCAGGCGCGCAAAUUACCCACUCCCGGCUCGGGGAGGUAGUGACGAAAGAUAACGAUACGGGACUCAUCCGAGGCCCCGUAAUCGGAAUGACUACACUUUAAAUCCUUUAAGGAGUAUCAAUUGGAGGGCAAGUCUGGUGCCAGCAGCCGCGGUAAUUCCAGCUCCAAUAGCGUAUAUUAAAGUUGUUGCGGUUAAAAAGCUCGUAGUUGGAUCUGUGUCCCGCACCGUCGGUACACCGCCCGUCGGUGCUAACUGGCGUGCUGUGGGACGUCCUGCCGGUGGCGCGUCUAGGUGGCGUUGUGGUUGGUUUCGGCCUCCGCUUCGCAGGCCGGCGCCGAUUCAAUCCCGCUGCGGUGCUCUUUACUGAGUGUCGAGGUGGGCCGGCACGUUUACUUUGAACAAAUUAGAGUGCUCAAAGCAGGCUGGAUACGCCUGGAUAUUUUUGCAUGGAAUAAUGGAAUAGGACCUCGGUUCUAUUUUGUUGGUUUUCGGAACCAGAGGUAAUGAUUAAUGGAGACAGGCGGGGGCAUUCGUACUGCGACGUUAGAGGUGAAAUUCUUGGAUCGUCGCAUGACGAACCGAAGCGAAAGCAUUUGCCAAGGAUGUUCUCGUUGAUCAAGAACGAAAGCGGGAGGUUUGAAGGCGAUCAGAUACCGCCCUAAUUCCCGCCGUAAAUAAUGUCUGCUAGCGAUCCGCCAACGUUCCAUUGAUGACUUGGUGGGCAGCUUCCGGGAAACCAAAGCUUUUGGAUUCCGGGGGAAGUAUGGUUGCAAAGCUGAAACUUAAAGGAAUUGACGGAAGGGCACCACCAGGAGUGGAGCCUGCGGCUUAAUUUGACUCAACACGGGAAACCUCACCAGGCCCGGACACUGGAAGGAUUGACAGAUUGAGAGCUCUUUCUUGAUUCAGUGGGUGGUGGUGCAUGGCCGUUCUUAGUUGGUGGAGCGAUUUGUCUGGUUAAUUCCGAUAACGAACGAGACUCUAGCCUGCUAACUAGUCGUCUCCGGUAUCCAUUACGCUACCGGCGAAGACAUAUCUUCUUAGAGGGACAGGCGGCUUCUAGCCGCACGAGAUUGAGCAAUAACAGGUCUGUGAUGCCCUUAGAUGUUCUGGGCCGCACGCGCGCUACAAUGAAGGUAUCAGCGUGUCUUCCCUGGCCGAAAGGUCCGGGUAACCCGCUGAACCACCUUCGUGCUUGGGAUUGGGGCUUGAAAUUGUUCCCCAUGAACGAGGAAUUCCCAGUAAAGGCGUGUCAUUAGCACGCCUUGAUUACGUCCCUGCCCUUUGUACACACCGCCCGUCGCUACUACCGAUUGAAUGAUUUAGUGAGGUCUUUGGACCGGUGCGCGGCAGUCUCUCGUGGACUGCCGAUGUCGCUGGAAAGAUGACCGAACUUGACCAUUUAGAGGAAGUAAAAGUCGUAACAAGGUUUCCGUAGGUGAACCUG